This 440-nucleotide ribosomal RNA is filed under the name uncultured bacterium. RNAcentral describes it as "partial 16S ribosomal RNA". It matches the Rfam family "Bacterial small subunit ribosomal RNA", at positions 338 to 795 of the family's 1533-position model. The record is from RNAcentral.
CCUACGGGGGGCAGCAGUGGGGAAUAUUGCACAAUGGGGGAAACCCUGAUGCAGCGACGCCGCGUGAGUGAAGAAGUAUUUCGGUAUGUAAAGCUCUAUCAGCAGGGAAGAAAAUGACGGUACCUGUUUAAGAAGCCCCGGCUAACUACGUGCCAGCAGCCGCGGUCAUACGUAGGGGGCACGCGUUAUACGGAUGUACUGGGUGUAAAGGGAGCGUAGACGGCAGCACAAGUCUGGAGUGAAAUGCCGGGGCUUAACCCCGGAACUGCUUUGGAAACUGUGCAGCUAGAGUGCAGGAGAGGGAAGUGGAAUUCCAGGUGUAGCGGUGAAAUGCGGAGAGAUUAGGAGGAACACCAGUGGCGAAGGCGGCUUACUGGACUGUAACUGACGUUGAGGCUCGAAAGCGUGGGGAGCAAACAGGAUUAGAUACCCGUGUAGUC